Molecule: ribosomal RNA, 505 nt
Filed under: uncultured bacterium
Lineage: Bacteria
Description: bacterial SSU rRNA
Rfam family: Bacterial small subunit ribosomal RNA
Source: RNAcentral
UCAGGAUGAACGCUAGCGACAGGCUUAACACAUGCAAGUCGAGGGGCAGCAUAAAAGUAGCAAUACUUGGUGGCGACCGGCGCACGGGUGAGUAACGCGUAUGCAACCUACCUAUCAGAAGGGGAAUAACCCGGCGAAAGUCGGACUAAUACCGCAUAAAACAGGGGCACCGCAUGGUGAUAUUUGUUAAAGAAAUUCGCUGAUAGAUGGGCAUGCGUUCCAUUAGGUAGUUGGUGAGGUAACGGCUCACCAAGCCGACGAUGGAUAGGGGAACUGAGAGGUUGGUCCCCCACACUGGUACUGAGACACGGACCAGACUCCUACGGGAGGCAGCAGUGAGGAAUAUUGGUCAAUGGGCGGGAGCCUGAACCAGCCAAGUCGCGUGGAAAAGGAAGAAGGAUCUAUGGUUCGUAAACUUCUUUUGCAGGGGAAUAAAGUGCAGGACGUGUCCUGUUUUGUAUGUACCCUGAGAAUAAGGAUCGGCUAACUCCGUGCCAGCAGCCGC